UACGAAGGUCCCAAGCGUUAUCCGGAUUCACUGGGUUUAAAGGGUGCGUAGGUGGGCUGGUAAGUCAGUGGUGAAAUCCCCGAGCUUAACUUGGGAACUGCCAUUGAUACUAUCAGUCUUGAAUACCGUGGAGGUCAGCGGAAUAUGUCAUGUAGCGGUGAAAUGCUUAGAUAUGACAUAGAACACCAAUUGCGAAGGCAGCUGGCUACACGAAUAUUGACACUGAGGCACGAAAGCGUGGGGAUCAAACAGG
This 253-nucleotide ribosomal RNA is filed under the name uncultured bacterium. Its description in RNAcentral is "partial 16S ribosomal RNA". It matches the Rfam family "Bacterial small subunit ribosomal RNA", at positions 524 to 776 of the family's 1533-position model. The record is from RNAcentral.